Molecule: ribosomal RNA, 253 nt
Filed under: uncultured bacterium
Lineage: Bacteria
Description: partial 16S ribosomal RNA
Rfam family: Bacterial small subunit ribosomal RNA
Source: RNAcentral
UACGGAGGGUGCGAGCGUUGUUCGGAAUCACUGGGCGUAAAGCGCGUGUAGGCGGUUGAAUAAGUCGGAUGUGAAAGCCCGGAGCUCAACUCCGGAAGUGCAUUCGAAACUGUUCGGCUCGAGUACGGGAGAGGGAAGUGGAAUUCCUGGUGUAGAGGUGAAAUUCGUAGAUAUCAGGAGGAACACCGGUGGCGAAGGCGGCUUCCUGGACCGAUACUGACGCUGAGACGCGAAAGCGUGGGGAGCAAACAGG